AUUGAACGCUGGCGGCAUGCCUUACACAUGCAAGUCGAACGGUAACGGGCCUUCGGGUGCCGACGAGUGGCGGACGGGGGCGGAAUACAUCGGAACGUGCCCGAUCGUGGGGGAUAACGAGGCGAAAGCUUUGCUAAUACCGCAUACGAUCUACGGAUGAAAGCAGGGGACCGCAAGGCCUUGCGCGGACGGAGCGGCCGAUGGCAGAUUAGGUAGUUGGUGGGAUAAAAGCUUACCAAGCCGACGAUCUGUAGCUGGUCUGAGAGGAUGAUCAGCCACACUGGGACUGAGACACGGCCCAGACUCCUACGGGAGGCAGCAGUGGGGAAUUUUGGACAAUGGGCGCAAGCCUGAUCCAGCCAUGCCGCGUGCAGGAUGAAGGCCUUCGGGUUGUAAACUGCUUUUGUACGGAACGAAAAGCCUUCUUUUAAUACAGGAGGGUCAUGACGGUACCGUAAGAAUAAGCACCGGCUAACUACGUG
Molecule: ribosomal RNA, 482 nt
Filed under: uncultured bacterium
Lineage: Bacteria
Description: partial 16S ribosomal RNA
Rfam family: Bacterial small subunit ribosomal RNA
Source: RNAcentral